AUUGAACGCUGGCGGCAGGCUUAACACAUGCAAGUCGAACGGUAACAGGAGAAAGCUUGCUUUCUUGCUGACGAGUGGCGGACGGGUGAGUAAUGCUUGGGAAUCUGGCUUAUGGAGGGGGAUAACGACGGGAAACUGUCGCUAAUACCGCGUAGUGUCGAGAGAUGAAAGUGCGGGACCUUCGGGCCGCAUGCCAUAGGAUGAGCCCAAGUGGGAUUAGGUAGUUGGUGGGGUAAAGGCCUACCAAGCCGACGAUCUCUAGCUGGUCUGAGAGGAUGACCAGCCACACCGGGACUGAGACACGGCCCGGACUCCUACGGGAGGCAGCAGUGGGGAAUAUUGCGCAAUGGGGGCAACCCUGACGCAGCCAUGCCGCGUGAAUGAAGAAGGCCUUCGGGUUGUAAAGUUCUUUCGGUAUUGAGGAAGGUUGUUGUGUUAAUAGCACGACAAAUUGACGUUAAAUACAGAAGAAGCACCGGCUAACUCCGUGCCAGCAGCCGCGGUANNACNGAGGGNGCGAGCGUUAAUCGGAAUAACUGGGCGU
RNAcentral lists this ribosomal RNA (544 nucleotides) under Aggregatibacter segnis. Its description in RNAcentral is "bacterial SSU rRNA". It matches the Rfam family "Bacterial small subunit ribosomal RNA", at positions 28 to 561 of the family's 1533-position model. Lineage: Bacteria; Pseudomonadati; Pseudomonadota; Gammaproteobacteria; Pasteurellales; Pasteurellaceae. The record is from RNAcentral.